GAUGAACGCUGGUGGCGUGCCUAAUACAUGCAAGUCGAGCGAACAGACGAGGCACUUGCUCCUCUGACGUUAGCGGCGGACGGGAGAGUACCACGUGGAUACCCUACCUAUAAGACUGGGAUAACUUCGGGAAACCGGAGCUAAUACCGGAUAAUAUAUUGAACCGCAUGGCUCAAUAGUGAAAGCCGGUUUUGCUGUCACUUAUAGAUGGAUCCGCGCCGGAUUAGCUAGUUGGUAAGGUAACGGCUUACCAAGGCAACGAUGUGUAGCCGACCUGAGAGGAUGAUCGGCCACACUGGAACUGAGACACGGUCCAGACUCCUACGGGAGGCAGCAGUGGGGAAUUUUCCGCAAUGGGCGAAAGCUUGACGGAGCAACGCCGCGUGAGGGAUGAAGGUCUUCGGAUCGUAAAACUCUGUUAUAAGGGAAGAACAAGUGUGGAAGUAACUAUGCACGUCUUGACGGUACCUAAUCAGAAAGCCACGGCUAACUACGUG
This 497-nucleotide ribosomal RNA is filed under the name uncultured bacterium. RNAcentral's name for it is "partial 16S ribosomal RNA". It matches the Rfam family "Bacterial small subunit ribosomal RNA", at positions 28 to 507 of the family's 1533-position model. The record is from RNAcentral.